GGUCAAGCGAACAAGUGCAUGUGGUGGAUGCCUUGGCGAUCACAGGCGAUGAAGGACGCGGUAGCCUGCGAAAAGCUUCGGGGAGCUGGCAAACAAGCUUUGAUCCGGAGAUGUCCGAAUGGGGAAACCCGGCCCGAAUGGGUCAUCCCUGACUGAAUACAUAGGUCAGGGAAGCGAACGCGGCGAACUGAAACAUCUAAGGUACCAAUCACUAGU
RNAcentral lists this ribosomal RNA (216 nucleotides) under Cupriavidus basilensis. RNAcentral describes it as "23S ribosomal RNA". It matches the Rfam family "Bacterial large subunit ribosomal RNA", at positions 1 to 222 of the family's 2925-position model. Lineage: Bacteria; Pseudomonadati; Pseudomonadota; Betaproteobacteria; Burkholderiales; Burkholderiaceae. The record is from RNAcentral.